This 301-nucleotide ribosomal RNA is filed under the name uncultured bacterium. Its description in RNAcentral is "partial 16S ribosomal RNA". It matches the Rfam family "Bacterial small subunit ribosomal RNA", at positions 509 to 807 of the family's 1533-position model. The record is from RNAcentral.
CAGUAGCCGCGGGAAUACGGAGGUGGCAAGCGUUGUCCGGAAUUAUUGGGCGUAAAGGGCUCGCAGGCGGUUUCUUAAGUCUGAUGUGAAAGCCCCCGGCUCAACCGGGGAGGGUCAUUGGAAACUGGGAAGCUUGAGUGCAGAAGAGGAGAGUGGAACUCCACGUGUAGCGGUGAGAUGCGUAGAGAUGUGGAGGAACACCAGUGGCGAAGGCGACUCUCUGGUCUGUAACUGACACUGAGGAGCGAAAGCGUGGGGAGCGAACAGGAUUAGAUACCCCCGUAGUCCCUGUCUCUUAUAC